RNAcentral lists this ribosomal RNA (361 nucleotides) under uncultured Micromonas. RNAcentral's name for it is "partial Bacterial large subunit ribosomal RNA". It matches the Rfam family "Bacterial large subunit ribosomal RNA", at positions 424 to 787 of the family's 2925-position model. Lineage: Eukaryota; Viridiplantae; Chlorophyta; Mamiellophyceae; Mamiellales. The record is from RNAcentral.
ACGUGAUAUCCUGUCUGAAGAUGGGGGGACCAUCCUCCAAGGCUAAAUACUCCUGACUGACCGAUAGUGAACCAGUACCGUGAGGGAAAGGCGAAAAGAACCCCGGCGAGGGGAGUGAAACAGAACCUGAAACCGUGUACGUACAAGCAGUGGGAGCCUUCGUAAGAGGGUGACUGCGUACCUUUUGUAUAAUGGGUCAGCGACUUAUAUUCUGUAGCAAGGUUAACCGUAUAGGGGAGCCGAAGGGAAACCGAGUCUUAACCGGGCGUUAAGUUGCAGGGUAUAGACCCGAAACCCGGUGAUCUAGCCAUGGGCAGGUUGAAGGUUGAGUAACAUCAACUGGAGGACCGAACUCACUGAU